ACGGGAGGCAGCAGUAAGGAAUAUUGGUCAAUGGACGAAAGUCUGAACCAGCCAUGCCGCGUGGAGGAUGAAGGUCCUCUGGAUUGUAAACUUCUUUUAUAUGGGACGAAAAAAGGGUUUUCUAACUCGUCUGACGGUACCAUAUGAAUAAGCACCGGCUAACUCCGUGCCAGCAGCCGCGGUAAUACGGAGGGUGCAAGCGUUAUCCGGAUUCACUGGGUUUAAAGGGUGCGUAGGUGGGUUGGUAAGUCAGUGGUGAAAUCCCCGAGCUUAACUUGGGAACUGCCAUUGAUACUAUCAGUCUUGAAUAUCGUGGAGGUUAGCGGAAUAUGUCAUGUAGCGGUGAAAUGCUUAGAUAUGACAUAGAACACCAAUUGCGAAGGCAGCUGGCUACACGAAUAUUGACACUGAGGCACGAAAGCGUGGGGAUCAAACAGGAUUAGAUACCCUGGUA
Molecule: ribosomal RNA, 454 nt
Filed under: uncultured Saprospirales bacterium
Lineage: Bacteria; Pseudomonadati; Bacteroidota; Saprospiria; Saprospirales
Description: bacterial SSU rRNA
Rfam family: Bacterial small subunit ribosomal RNA
Source: RNAcentral